GAGGAAAUUCACAAAUACAACAUGCCGCAGACCUGCCCCAGUUCAUCCAGGCUAAAGUUAACGCCUACAACAUCAGCGAGAUAUGUACAAAGCAGACCUGAAAGACUUGAGCAAGAAGGGAUAUGACCUGAGAACUGAUGCGAUUCCCAUCAGAGCUGCCAAAGCUGCCAGGCAGGCAGCAAGCGAUGUGAGUCCA
Microcebus murinus (gray mouse lemur) is the source of this 196-nucleotide non-coding RNA. NCBI's taxonomy places the organism in Eukaryota, Metazoa, Chordata, Mammalia, Primates, Cheirogaleidae. The record is from RefSeq and is a predicted model, not a curated record.